AUGCGGGUACUCGCUUAUGGCAUACCCGCGGAUUAUACCGACAAGUAUCCUCGCAUUGGGCAAGAUACAACCACGGAGUCAGUCCGUAGGUUUGCCAAGUUGGUCAUUCGGUUGUACGGUGAGCAGUAUCUUCGGGCACCAAACCAGGAAGAUACAAAGAGAUUAAUGGAAAUGAAUGAAAAAAGGGGAUGGCCGGGGAUGCUAGGUAGUCUUGACUGCAUGCAUUGGAGGUGGAAAAAUUGCCCAAAGGCAUGGCACGGAAUGUAUUGCGGUAAAAGCCGUGAUGCUACCAUUGUGCUUGAGGCUGUAGCAUCUCAGGACACAUGGAUUUGGCAUGCAUUCUUUGGGUUGCCGGGAACACUCAAUAUAUCAAUAUCCUCAAUAGAUCUCCUUUGUUCAAAAGAUUAA
RNAcentral lists this ribosomal RNA (408 nucleotides) under Triticum aestivum (bread wheat). RNAcentral describes it as "partial small subunit ribosomal RNA". The record is from RNAcentral. Lineage: Eukaryota; Viridiplantae; Streptophyta; Magnoliopsida; Poales; Poaceae.